Molecule: ribosomal RNA, 506 nt
Filed under: uncultured bacterium
Lineage: Bacteria
Description: partial 16S ribosomal RNA
Rfam family: Bacterial small subunit ribosomal RNA
Source: RNAcentral
GAUGAACGCUAGCUACAGGCUUAACACAUGCAAGUCGAGGGGUAACGAGAGGAAAGCUUGCUUUCCUUGUCGACGACCGGCGCACGGGUGAGUAACGCGUAUCCAACCUGCCCCCAACUAGGGAAUAACCUUGCGAAAGUAAGACUAAUACCCUAAACUUUGCUCAGAUGUCAUCUGACGAGGAAUAAAGAUAUAUCGGUUGUGGAUGGGGAUGCGUCUGAUUAGCUUGUUGGCGAGGUAACGGCCCACCAAUGCAACGAUCAGUAGGGGUUCGGAGAGGAAGGUCCCCCACAUUGGAACUGAGACACGGUCCAAACUCCUACGGGAGACAGCUGUGAGGAAUAUUGGUCAAUGGGCGGAAGCCUGAACCAGCCAAGUAGCGUGCAGGAUGACGGCCCUAUGGGUUGUAAACUGCUUUUAUACAGGAAUAAAGUUAGCCACGUGUGGUUAUUUGUAGGUACUGUAUGAAUAAGGACCGGCUAAUUCCGUGCCAGCAGCCGCCGUAA